AAACAACCCCCUAUGUUUUGAUUCUUUGGCAGUUUUAGACCCCUAAGGCAAAAAAAAAUGACACGUGGCACCUCACUUAGGGUGCCACAUCAGCGUUGACCGAGUCAACAAUGGACUGGGGGUCCAAAACUGCCAAAGAAUCAAAACAUAGGGGGCUGUUU
MicroRNA precursor from Medicago truncatula (barrel medic), 161 nucleotides. It matches the Rfam family "MIR2619 microRNA precursor family". The record is from Rfam. NCBI's taxonomy places the organism in Eukaryota, Viridiplantae, Streptophyta, Magnoliopsida, Fabales, Fabaceae.